RNAcentral lists this ribosomal RNA (373 nucleotides) under uncultured organism. Its description in RNAcentral is "partial 16S ribosomal RNA". It matches the Rfam family "Bacterial small subunit ribosomal RNA", at positions 527 to 896 of the family's 1533-position model. The record is from RNAcentral.
GUAGGUGGCAAGCGUUGUCCGGAAUUAUUGGGCGUAAAGCGCGCGCAGGCGGUUCUUUAAGUCUGAUGUGAAAGCCCACGGCUCAACCGUGGAGGGUCAUUGGAAACUGGAGAACUUGAGUACAGAAGAGGAAAGCGGAAUUCCACGUGUAGCGGUGAAAUGCGUAGAGAUGUGGAGGAACACCAGUGGCGAAGGCGGCUUUCUGGUCUGUAACUGACGCUGAGGCGCGAAAGCGUGGGGAGCAAACAGGACUAGAUACCCUGGUAGCCCACGCCGUAAACGAUGAGUGCUAAGUGUUAGGGGGGUUUCCGCCCCCCUUAGUGCUGCAGCUAACGCAUUAAGCACUCCGCCUGGGAGUACGGCCGCAAGGCUG